Molecule: ribosomal RNA, 253 nt
Filed under: uncultured bacterium
Lineage: Bacteria
Description: partial 16S ribosomal RNA
Rfam family: Bacterial small subunit ribosomal RNA
Source: RNAcentral
UACGUAGGCAGCAAGCGUUGUUCGGAGUUACUGGGCGUAAAGAGUGUGUAGGCGGUGCUCUAAGUUUGGUGUGAAAUCUCCCGGCUCAACCGGGAGGGUGCGCCGAAAACUGGGAGACUAGAGUGCGGGAUGGGAGAGUAGAAUUCCUGGUGUAGCGGUGAAAUGCGUAGAUAUCAGGAGGAAUACCGGUGGUGUAGACGGCUCUCUGGACCGCCACUGACGCUGAGACACGAAAGCGUGGGUAGCAAACAGG